GACGAACGCUGGCGGCGUGCUUAACACAUGCAAGUCGAACGGUGAAGCAGAGCUUGCUCUGUGGAUCAGUGGCGUACGGGUGAGUAACACGUGAGUAACCUGCCCUUGACUCUGGGAUAAGCGUUGGAAACGACGUCUAAUACCGGAUACGAGCUGAGACCGCAUGGUCAUCAGUUGGAAAGAUUUUUUGGUCAAGGAUGGACUCGCGGCCUAUCAGCUUGUUGGUGAGGUAAUGGCUCACCAAGGCGACGACGGGUAGCCGGCCUGAGAGGGUGACCGGCCACACUGGGACUGAGACACGGCCCAGACUCCUACGGGAGGCAGCAGUGGGGAAUAUUGCACAAUGGGCGCAAGCCUGAUGCAGCAACGCCGCGUGAGGGAUGACGGCCUUCGGGUUGUAAACCUCUUUUAGUAGGGAAGAAGCGAAAGUGACGGUACCUGCAGAAAAAGCACCGGCUAACUACGUG
RNAcentral lists this ribosomal RNA (467 nucleotides) under uncultured bacterium. Its description in RNAcentral is "partial 16S ribosomal RNA". It matches the Rfam family "Bacterial small subunit ribosomal RNA", at positions 28 to 507 of the family's 1533-position model. The record is from RNAcentral.